This is a non-coding RNA of Lupinus albus (white lupine), 817 nucleotides long. Lineage: Eukaryota; Viridiplantae; Streptophyta; Magnoliopsida; Fabales; Fabaceae. The record is from the annotation of a GenBank genome assembly.
UUUAUUGACAGAACCUAUAAGGAAAUGCAUUGACACAGCAGAAUGAAGAGUUGCUUAAAUACAGAGAAGCAUUACUCUUGCAACCAAAUGACUGAAACCCCCAUUGAAGUAAUACAAUGUAUUUUGCCAAAUAAGAAGUGCCAAAGUCAUAAGUUUGCACAGCAUUAAAACAAACAUUGGAUUUUAAUAAGUACAAGCCUCUAGAUUUCUUUUGCAUGAAACAAAACACCCUUAAAACAUAAAGUUUAUUUAUUACAUUGAAAAUCAUUUUCGACAAAAUAAAAGGGAAAGCAAAAUUUUCUAAUGUCUACCAUGAAAUAUUAAUGGAUCAAUAAUGUGCUAUUUGGCUGCAUAAAAUUGAUCUGAAAUAAAGUAGGAGAAAAAUCCUGGUCCACGGCUCAAUCAACGUAACUGGGAAGGUGAACAGAGCAACCCAGAAGCAUCUGCUCCUACCACUGCAAGAUCACACACAGUACAUAGCUGCCCCUCGUGGCUUGGCACAAAUCGAGAAGUACAAUAUGGGCAAGAGACAUCCUUCUGUCCUCGAUAGAUUGGGACAUAUGUCGCACCACAAAUCACAAAUGGGUUUCGCCGCCACCACUUGCCUCGCUCUCUUUACUUGAAUUUCGAUGGUAGGGUUUGUCUCAAGUAGCCUCCUGGCGAAGUUAUAAGCUGUGGCGAGGUUCUUUUCCUUGAAGCAUACAACCAUUGCAUUGAGCAGAGCUAACCUCAAGUGUGGUAGUUGAAGGUUGCAGUGAGUGAAAUAUGCUGCUAGCUCCUGUUGCCGUGCAGGGUUGUCCUUGAUUUCCCUCCUCUG